Molecule: ribosomal RNA, 471 nt
Filed under: uncultured bacterium
Lineage: Bacteria
Description: SSU rRNA
Rfam family: Bacterial small subunit ribosomal RNA
Source: RNAcentral
AGGACGAACGCUGGCGGCGUGCCUAACACAUGCAAGUCGAACGGAGCCCGCAAGGGUUCAGUGGCGAACGGGUGCGUAACACGUGAGGAACUUGUCCAUCGGCGGGGGAUAGCCGGCCCAACGGCCGGGUAAUACCGCGUACGCCGUCCGGAGCGCAUGCUCUGGCCGGGAAAGCAGCAAUGCACCGAUGGAGAGCCUCGCGGCCUAUCAGCUAGUUGGUGGGGUAAUGGCCUACCAAGGCGACGACGGGUAGCUGGUCUGAGAGGAUGACCAGCCACAUUGGGACUGAGACACGGCCCAGACUCCUACGGGAGGCAGCAGUGGGGAAUAUUGCGCAAUGGGCGAAAGCCUGACGCAGCGACGCCGCGUGUGGGAUGACGGCCUUCGGGUUGUAAACCACUGUCGCGAGGGACGAAGAUCUGACGGUACCUCGAAAGGAGCACCGGCUAACUCUGCGCCAGCAGCCGCGGU